This is a long non-coding RNA of Trichechus manatus latirostris (Florida manatee), 298 nucleotides long. RefSeq lists it as uncharacterized. The record is from RefSeq and is a predicted model, not a curated record. NCBI's taxonomy places the organism in Eukaryota, Metazoa, Chordata, Mammalia, Sirenia, Trichechidae. The transcript is spliced from 3 exons.
UUUUUUAAGCAAGAUUUUGCAGUCAGAAUCUUGUGACCUUGGGAAAGCACCUAAUCUUUCCAGGCUUCGUUUUCCUCAUCUCUCAAAUGCAGACAGUAAUACCUAACUCAGAGACUUCAGGUAUCAGAAACAGUACUGAAAUUGACACAAGGACAAAGAGAAUAUACUGAUUCAAGAUCGCCUUCUCUACCUUGCUUUGUGCCCGAGAAGGCAGAAGCUGACCUAUAUGAACUGUACAAUGAGCUUCCUUGCUCUCUGGAUUCCCGUUGUUCCAGCCAAUGGGGAGCAUCCCAAGAUC